RNAcentral lists this transfer RNA (69 nucleotides) under Melanagromyza sojae. RNAcentral describes it as "tRNA-Met". It matches the Rfam family "tRNA". Rfam says of the family: Transfer RNA (tRNA) molecules are approximately 80 nucleotides in length. Their secondary structure includes four short double-helical elements and three loops (D, anti-codon, and T loops). Lineage: Eukaryota; Metazoa; Arthropoda; Insecta; Diptera; Agromyzidae. The record is from RNAcentral.
AAAAAGAUAAGCUAAGAAAGCUACUGGGCUCAUACCUCAUUUAUAAAGGUUUUAAUCCUUUUCUUUUUA